GACGAACGCUGGCGGCGUGCCUAAUACAUGCAAGUCGAGCGAACAGACGAGGAGCUUGCUCCUCUGACGUUAGCGGCGGACGGGUGAGUAACACGUGUAUAACCUACCUAUAAGUCUGGGAUAACUUCGGGAAACCGGAGCUAAUACCGGAUAAUAUAUUGAACCGCGUGGUUCAAUAGUGAAAGACGGUUUUGCUGUCACUUAUAGAUGGAUCCGCGCCGCAUUAGCUAGUUGGUAAGGUAACGGCUUAUCAAGGCUACGAUGCGUAGCCGACCUGAGAGGGUGGUCGGCCACACUGGAACUGAGACACGGUCCUGACUCCUACGGGAGGCAGCAGUAGGGAAUCUUCCGCAAAGGGCGAAAGCCUGACGGAGCAAGGCCGCGUGAGUGAUGAAAGUCUUCGGAUCGUAAAACUCUGUUAUGAGGGAAGAACAAAUGUGUAAGUAACUAUGCACGUCUUGACGGUACCUGGUCAGAAAGCCACGGCUAACUACGUG
RNAcentral lists this ribosomal RNA (497 nucleotides) under uncultured bacterium. RNAcentral's name for it is "partial 16S ribosomal RNA". It matches the Rfam family "Bacterial small subunit ribosomal RNA", at positions 28 to 507 of the family's 1533-position model. The record is from RNAcentral.